CCUACGGGAGGCUGCAGUGAGGAAUAUUGGUCAAUGGACGAGAGUCUGAACCAGCCAAGCAGCGUGAAGGAUGACUGCCCUAUGGGUUGUAAACUUCUUUUAUAUGGGAAUAAAAUGUUCCACGUGUGGGAUUUUGUAUGUAUCAUAUGAUUAAGGAUCGGCUAACUCCGUGCCAGCAGCCGCGGUAAUACGGAGGAUCCGAGCGUUAUCCGGAUUUAUUGGGUUUAAAGGGAGCGUAGGUGGAUUGUUAAGUCAGUUGUGAAAGUUUGCGGCUCAACCGUAAAAUUGCAGUUGAAACUGGCAGUCUUGAGUACAGUAGAGGUGGGCGGAAUUCGUGGUGUAGCGGUGAAAUGCUUAGAUAUCACGAAGAACUCCGAUUGCGAAGGCAGUUCACUGGACUGCAACUGACACUGAGGCUCGAAAGUGUGGGUAUCAAACAGGAUUAGAUACCCCUGUAGUC
Molecule: ribosomal RNA, 460 nt
Filed under: uncultured bacterium
Lineage: Bacteria
Description: partial 16S ribosomal RNA
Rfam family: Bacterial small subunit ribosomal RNA
Source: RNAcentral